GACAGAGGUGCCAAGCGUUAGGCGGAAUCACUGGGCUUAAAGCGUGUGUAGGCGGAUCGUUAAGUACCUUGUGAAAUCCCACGGCUCAACCGUGGAACUGCUGGGUAUACUGGCGAUCUUGAGCCACCUAGGGGCGAGCGGAACAAGCGGUGGAGCGGUGAAAUGCGUAGAUAUCGCUUGGAACGCCAAUGGUGAAAACAGCUCGCUGGGGGUGUGCUGACGCUGAGACACGAAAGCCGGGGGAGCGAACGGG
RNAcentral lists this ribosomal RNA (253 nucleotides) under uncultured bacterium. Its description in RNAcentral is "partial 16S ribosomal RNA". It matches the Rfam family "Bacterial small subunit ribosomal RNA", at positions 524 to 776 of the family's 1533-position model. The record is from RNAcentral.